RNAcentral lists this long non-coding RNA (420 nucleotides) under Elaeis guineensis (African oil palm). RNAcentral describes it as "long non-coding RNA (EGUI_LNC003284)". The record is from RNAcentral. Lineage: Eukaryota; Viridiplantae; Streptophyta; Magnoliopsida; Arecales; Arecaceae.
CGGUUCCCUCCUUCUCGAAAGACCUCUCACCGUUUCUUGGACGCGAAGUCACUGUUCUUCUUCUUCUUCUUCCUCGUCUCCUUCUUCUUGGUACUCUCUCUCUCCCUCUCAAAAGAGCUCUCACCGUUUCUUGGACCAGAGGUUACUGCUCCUCUUCUUCUUCUUGGUAUUCUCUCUCUCUCUGCGUCGAUUAGACAUAUAUUUUGUUUAAUCUUGAUGUUGACGGCUGGUGUUUGAUUCUUAUUCUGAUCUUUUCUUGAAUGUCUGAUAGCAGGAAGGGGCUGAAAUCUUUGUUCAAGUGAGUGUUCGUUUACUUCGGUAGGAUCUCUUGCUCUGGAUCUUUAGUUUUAGAUAAUCACAUAUUUUUCAUCGAUUUUAAUUGGAUAUCUUUGAAUAAUGGUGCGAUUUUUCCACUUCUUG